CAAGAAGCGGGGGGAGGGGCUCCACCCCACUCUUUGCAUUGCUGAAAAUUAGUAUGGAUUGACAAAAUGAGAUAGCACAGUUGUCUGGCAGAUAGACGGUAAUUGCAGUUGGGCCACCGGGGCUGGUCUAGCCCCAGAGGGGGAAAUUAUCAUUUUGAUUAUGUUCGGGGGAUAUCUAUUUAUGAGUCCAGGGUUCUUAGUUGAGUUAGAUGGAAUAUUUUUCUGGAUGUAGAAAAACAAAAUUUGGAUACAAAAAAAAAAAGUAAACGCAGGUCUGUUCUUUGACCCAGAGCGUUUCUAACCGUUUCUGCUUGGUGAGCAGCACGGUGAGAGAAGAGCAGAAAGGUUUCCCGUUCUUUUACACCUGCCGUCUAGCAGAGGCUUCUCCUCUGCUUGACAAAGAGAAGCCAGCCAAGUGUCCUUUGCACCGCUGCCCUGUCACAGCUGAGCCUCCCUUUCCUCCUGCUUUCUGUGAUCCAGCUGCCUCGCUAAGGUGACAAGGAAUGAGGAAGUGAAAGGGCUGCACUGUGCCAAGGAGGUCCUGGCCCAUAACAAGGCCGUGACACACGGAAAGAGACACCGAGUCACACUGGACUCAGGGUUCAGACAGAUCUGAGUUCAAAUUCUAUCUGGGCCAAGGAGGAGACACACGGUCUUGGGCAGAGACAAUGCCAGGAAGGUGAGCUCUCAUCUUUGGCAUAGAGAUGGGCCAAAUGCACCGCUGAAGAAGGGAGCAGAAGUUGGUGCAAGUUAUGCAAAUGGCGGCUCAGGGAUCUAAGCAGAAGAAGAGAUGGAAAGAUUGUAAGAGCCAGAGGUGAUGGAAGACGCCAGACAAAUGGUGUCUUCCAGACACAGUAGGACUGUUACACACGUGAACUCACAGAUACUGUGGCAGCCUGCACAGGACCUGAGCAGGUCCCACGCCCAGGAGUUGUUGGCCAACAGAAAAUGAACUCAGUGGCUGUGUUCGUUUAGAUCGCUGCUGUGUCUCCGAGCGGAAGUUCUGCCUCUGACAACCUAUUUCCUGCAGGAAUGACAACACAGACGGUCUCUGCGCCAUGCACGUUCGGCUCCAGUGCCAGGUUCUUUCCCUACGUGACCUCACUUGUCCCCACUACACCUUUGCAUGAUCAAUUCUUGUCUUGGUUUAUUGAACACUCAUCUCUAAUGCUGGAACGUGGGCAGGGCUGGGAUUUGAGCCCAGGUCCCCCUGAUAUCAGGAACUUUUUUCCCUGUGAGUGCAGAAAUGAAAAUGGAGUUUCAGAAUACGAGCACUGGGCAGAAGCUUUAACUGAGUGGAGAAAGGAGCUGAAGAAAAGGAGACAGAAUGGAUGGUGGGAGACUCUGCCUACCACCAGCAGACAAAGGAACAGAUUUUUACCAGUAAAGACAAACUUUUACUUUGUCACUCAUGAGAAAUAUAUAUAAUAUAUAUUACAUAUAUUCAUACAUAGAAACCAAUGGAAAUAUAUAUAUAUAUAUAUACAUAUAUUUUUCAUUAGCAUAUAUUCAGCUAAUAGGGUGCUGAGUUCUAUGAGGUCACUAUUUUUAUACAAAUGUCUAGUGUACUGGGCGCUUAUUUCCCCGCUGUAACUUCCAUUUUCUUCUCCCCUUAGUCCUGUUUGUUCCCCUGGAUGGUUUCAUUUCUGCUUUCAGGUCAUAUAUACAAAUUUGAUUUUAUAGAUCUCACAAAAUGAGAGAAAACGUACAAUACUUUGGUUUUCUGAGAAUGACUUAAUUUGCUGAACACGAUUCUCCGCAGUUGUUUCCAUUUUCUUGCAAAGAACAUUGUCCUGUCCUUCCUGAUGGCUACAAACAAGAAAAUCCACUGUGUACAUUUGUGUGUACAAAUGUGGUGAAAAAAAAAACACCACUUUUUUUUCUUAGAAAAUGAUGUUUUUUAAAGAAAUUGCGUCCUUAUGGCUUGAGGAUAUUUUCCUGUAAGACACAGAUCAGCAGCCUGCUUGUCCUUGGAGACGUCCUUCAUGACCCUGCUGCACCUGGUGAUUUUUGUUUUUUCUUUUUUCUUGUGAUGAGAAGAUAAGGGGCAGGCACAUUCCAUACGCUGUUGAUAAGAAAGGAGAAAAUCUCCUCGUGGAUAACAGGCUUUGUGGAGCAAGGGGCAUGAGAGGGCAUCUCUUGUCCCCAUGAGGGCCCCUAUUUCUAUUUCACAACCUCCGAAUCCACUUUUUUUUUAACUAGCUCUUGCUGUCACUGUCACCAGGCUCUGGUUCUUCAGUGCCUCCCUGGGAAUUUCCCUCCUCUUCCCUUUCCUGCAAACAGCCUGUUGCUCUGUUAACUCCUGCUCUGAUCGCUGCUGGAGCUCUGCUCAGACCCAUUUGCAUGACCAUCGCUCCUUUCCCCAGUCUCCUCUCAGUUAGUAGCAUCCUCUCUUCCUGAGAGUCUAUUUCUAUUCUGUUUCCCCAUUUUUUGUAGGAACAUGCAAUGCCUUGGUAACCAAAUCCAAACUUCUAACUUGGACUGUGUGAAUCUUCAGAAUCAUCUACCCUCUGCUACGAGUCAGAGGUGACCUGAGUGUGCACUAAGAAUGUACUAAGUUGGGAACUUGCUCCCCAAGAUGGUUGUAUCUGGAGGAGGUGAAUCCUUUAAGGUGUGGGCCUAGUAUGAGAUCCUUAGACCACAGGGUAGGGCAUCUUCUGAAGAAUCACUAGAGUCCCUUUUUACUUCCCUCUAAGAAUGUGUACUAAAUAAACCUUUUCUUUAUGUAGAACUUUUAUUAUAGUAAUGAAAAUCUGGCUACAGACUAGAAUCACUUGGUGAGCUUCAAAAAUUCCUCUUGCAGUUCUCAGCCUGACUUGGACCAGACAAAGGCUGCUUCCAGCCUCGAACACAGGAAGCCUCUCCUUGUGCUGAGCAGAGGUCAAUGCAAGGACCCAUGGCUGCACAAGAUGCUGGAAGUAAAGCAUGGCUGGGCAUUCAUUCCUAAUCAAGACAUUCAUACCACCCACUUUAAGGCCCAGGGGACACUGCAGAAGAGGAGGGCAGAGAGAACAUAAGAGCUAAAAGAUGGGAAGAAGGGCUGCGAAACACCACCUUCUAAACAUGUCACGGCCGUGGAAACCACAGAAUCACAGCAGCUACGUACUCUGGCUGGGGUGCCUCUGAACAGUCAGCUAUGGCAAGGAAAGGAACUCACCAGAUCCUACCACGUACUGUUGAACUAUUGCCUACCAACAUAUUCUGAGAAAGGGGGAGAAUUAUAUCCGGGUGAAUACCCACUAGCGAGCCUACCAGGUUCUCAUGGUUUGGUGAGUUCCAAACUCAGAUUCACAAACAUAGCCCUAGUGUUUGAGGGACACUAACUAGAGUAGGUAGUCUAAAGGGGAAAGAGAUGUGUAGAGAAUCAGAGGGCUAUUAGAGGUUGGAAAGAAAGAGAAGGUGGUGAGAGGGAAGGAAGGACCCAGACAUAGAGUGUACAUGUACGAAACUGUGGAAGAACAAAAGUUGAUAGCAGUAAGAAUCUUAUUGCAAGGACUACAUUCUGGGCUAGAUAAGUCAGAGUAGCUACGGGUGGGAUUCAGGCUGAGUCGCUAUAGAUGGGACCCAGGCCCUAGUGUUCCUUAAACCUCUCUGUGAUCCCAGUGUGCACUCAAGAUUGAGAAAACAGUAAAGUAAACCAGUUAAUCCCUGCACAUCAACUCCCUCCUAAUUCCCGGGCCCAUCUUCUUAUUGCCCUUUGUGUGUCCCACCCCUGCCCACAGCUGUAAUCUCACUGCUGAGAGUCUGUCCUGGAGAAUGCUUUCUUCUUCAGACCUUGCCUCACCGCAGCCCAUUCCAGAAAGACUUCCUUGAAUGUGCUGACCUCUGAACAAACCUGGAUCUGAAUGCGCAGUUACAGUGCAGGCACUCGGGCGCACGAUGACGGCAUUUCAUGCUCGCUUGCUGCUUUCUAAGCAUCAAUCCACAGUCUCUCGGAUGGUGCCAGGGUAGUUUCCUGUGUGCUGGAUUCUGCCCACGCUCCCGCGUCUGACUUCUCAGCAGCGCUCGUUCUCUCAUAUCUAAUUUAUGCACCUGUCUCUCUGUUUGGUCUCGUCUGCUCACUCUUGUCCCGGUGCCGCUGAUUCCCACACAGACCCUUCCUUUUCACUCCCGCACGCUCUCGCUCUUGCUCCACAUUCUUUCCUGUCACUCUGGCAGAUGUCGACUUCAUCCACCUGUCAAAGCCCUCUUCUCGCCCAGGUUGUCUGUGAUAUUUCUCUCGUCAGACAAAACUAAGGGUGCUCCCUUCACAUUCCCGCUUCUUUCAGCUUAUCCCAGUCACUUAGAGUUUGUGGCGGUGUAGCAGAGUUCGUGGUCUCCGCAUAUCUUAAACAAUCUGUAACACGGUAAAGGCACACAGGUAAUGCAACGUGAAACGAGACUUCCAGCACUGUUUAUGAGGGGAUUAAAAACCAAGGGCUGCUGAUAGGAAAGGCCGUUUUCUGCAUUCACAUCAUUAAUUGGAAACUGAGCUUUAAUCAGCCCUAGCCCUGGGCAUCUGCUGUCUUGUAUACAUGUGCUAGGUGUAGGGUAUGCUGGCUUCCUUUCCAUAAAAUUGCAUUAAGUGAACUGGUGAACAGGCAAAGUGUGCAAAGCAUGUUGCUCUCUUUGAAAGCUGUCACUACGGUCAGAGAUAAAAAGGCAGAGCAGACUAGACUUUGGACUGGCAGAGCAGAGCAGACUAGAAAACCCAAUGUCUUGAGCAGACCCACAAAGCUGACGCUUCUUCCCUUAAAGUUCCGGAUGCAAAAUAACCUUGCAAUUCCUCAUCUUAAAAUAGCACCCACAGAAGCUGUGCGGGAUAAGAAUUCCACACUCGUAAGGGAUCUUAUCACCGGGGGUUCUGGAUCCCCCCUCUGAGAAAAAGACUCUCUGUAGCGAGAACCAAGAAGUCAAUUUCACAUUUCAGAAUUAAAUUGAAGCAUGUUUGCUGCUAUAAAAGUUGAUGAGCUGAGUUUUCUAAUCUUGAAAUUGCUAUUCUCCCGUCUCUAUGGGAACACAUCACAGUGAAGACAUGGUAUGGAAAGAGAAAGUGUGCAGCAGGAGUGUGGAAUUCUUUGGAGAAUCUCCCUAUCAGAAACUAAAAGUUACCCAACAGUGCCCCCCCCAUUGCCCCACUGUGACUAAAACCUCAGUUUUACUCUACAGCUUCCUUCAAAGAACCUAGAUAGAACCUCAAGUUCUGGUCACAUAGAUGAGCAAGCAGAUUUUAGUCAAGGUUUCAGAACAUAGCCCACCAACAGACUCAAUCACUGCCCUACUCAGCCAAAGGCCAUCAAAAUUAAAGCCUCGGUUUUGUCUCAACAAGCAUUCAUUCUGUAUCGUUUGUUAUGAUUUGUCUGUAACAUCCUUUUGGGUUUUACCAAGUUACUCAACUGACAAAUCUCCAAUGACAAAGACAUGUGUGCACUAACUGAGAUAGGGUUCAACUGGCCCAGGGCGGGAACACAAGGACAGGCAGGGUAUGCAACUCCUGAUAGAGAUGAUAUUGUGUGUGUUUUGGAAAAUGAGUACAUUUUACAUAGGUGGAUAGGAAGGAAGUCACAGGCAACAGCUUGGGAUGGGUAGGAAGGACUCGUUCACUGUGGAUGGAACAACUGGUCUACCUACCAGUGUGUGUGUGUGUGUGUGUGUGUGUGUGUGUGUGCGUGCGUGUGUGUGUGUGUGUGUGUGUGUCUGUUGAAUUAUAUCUCCUAUCCUAAUUCAAAGCGGUACGUAACCAUCAGUACUCACAGUGUGAUCUUACUUGGAUUCUUACCUUUUGAAGGGGUGACUAAGUUGAAACAAGACCAUUAGGCUGGGCCCUGGAUGAACAAUGCCAUCCGAUGAAGAUGCUUGGGAUCUGUGUGCAGAGAGGAGAGUCGUCAUUGGCCAUGCCAGAGAAGCAGCAGGUGGCAACUGAAGUUCCUUCCAGGUGUCGGUUCACCAGAAGGGAAUCCUCUGAUGAACCAAUUUCAUUUGCAAGGCCUUGGAACUGCAGACCCUAGAAUGUCUUGUGCUUCUGCUGUGUUUUUACAGGUUUGCUGCGGCUCUCUUUCUCUGCUAUCUAGCAUGGUGUGGGUGAACGUGGGGAGCUCUCCACUGCCUAUAAUAAAGUGUGUUUAUCUCUUGGAAGCAUCCCAUUCUACUGGGAUUUUUACCUGUGGAUUGUCAAGAAGAUGACCCCUCCCUAAACUGUACUUUCUAAUUUGAUAAUAAAAAUGAUAGCCUAUAGAGAGUUUUGAUGAAUGAAAAUAAAUGCAAGGAUAUGUUUCAGCCAGGGUCUGUGAGUCUCACCUAUGGAGAUGCAUGGAUUGUAGAUCAAGUUAAUGACCGACAAUUGAGUCCCAAUAGCCCAGCUAGUUUAAGUCUUGUUUUUAACCUUAAUGUCAGGAGAUAUGUUCACAGGUCUCAGAGUGCAUCACAGCUAAAACAAAGCUUUGAAAAUAAAAAAGUUAGACUAAAAUGUUUUUGUUAAAUAGCUUUGAGGUGAAAAGUGCAAGACAAUCUAAAGUGUUAGAAAGGCACAUGGUUGAAUAUGGAACUCUUCAAGGUCAGGGAAAAAGAACAAAACAACCCAAUUAUUACUGGCUGACAUACUCUCCUUACUAGGUUUGGUUGAUGACCAAAGAUAACAAUUAAUUCCUCAUACAUAUUUCUUCCCUCAAUCUCAUAUAUAUAGCUAUUGAUGAAUGGAUAUGUACCCCCAAAGAUUUAAAUUAGAGCUGAGUGGUUUUUUUUCAUAUAUAAAGGCUUAGGUUUGUGAUUCCUUUAAGAUUCCUUCUAAGAUUACCUUUCAAGGUAAGUAAUAAAAUAAUUGGCCCUUUCUUUGUUACUGCAAAGUGCAGCCUGCCAGUAAGAGAACUGACAAGAACACCUCGUUUGCCACAUGGUUAAUCUAUAACAAGUUGCUUGGGUAUGAAUGUAUGUGGGUUCUUGGGAUAAUUUGUUUUUCACUUGUAAUACAUAAAAUGUUUAAUCAUGUGAGGGAGAUGAAAACCAUGUUUUUACCUAUAAUCAUUCACUUGAAAAUGGAAUGCAACUGUUUUGACUCUU
Molecule: non-coding RNA, 7035 nt
Organism: Myodes glareolus (Bank vole)
Lineage: Eukaryota; Metazoa; Chordata; Mammalia; Rodentia; Cricetidae
Source: RefSeq, a predicted model, not a curated record